GACGUAGGAGGCGAGCGUUAUCCGGAUUCACUGGGCGUAAAGCGCAUGUAGGCGGCUGACUAAGUCGUGUGUUAAAGCCCCCGGCUCAACUGGGGGAGGUCAUGCGAGACUAGCCGGCUGGAGGGCAGCAGAGGAGCGUGGAACUCCCGGUGUAGCGGUGGAAUGCGUAGAGAUCGGGAAGAACACCAGUGGCGAAAGCGGCGCUCUGGGCUGCACCUGACGCUGAGAUGCGAAAGUGUGGGGAGCAAAC
This 250-nucleotide ribosomal RNA is filed under the name uncultured bacterium. RNAcentral's name for it is "partial 16S ribosomal RNA". It matches the Rfam family "Bacterial small subunit ribosomal RNA", at positions 524 to 773 of the family's 1533-position model. The record is from RNAcentral.